UAUCCUACUGGAAAUUUGUUAGUUGUAUUCGAGGAAUGGGGAGGAGAUCCUUAUGGAAUCACUUUAGUCAAAAGAGAAAUAGGGAGUGUUUGUGCUGAUAUAUAUGAGUGGCAACCACAGUUAUUGAAUUGGCAGAGGCUAGUAUCUGGUAAGUUUGACAGACCUCUCAGACCUAAAGCCCAUCUUAAGUGUGCACCUGGUCAGAAGAUUUCUUCAAUCAAAUUUGCAAGCUUUG
RNAcentral lists this unclassified non-coding RNA (235 nucleotides) under Hevea brasiliensis (rubber tree). The record is from RNAcentral. Lineage: Eukaryota; Viridiplantae; Streptophyta; Magnoliopsida; Malpighiales; Euphorbiaceae.